RNAcentral lists this ribosomal RNA (301 nucleotides) under uncultured bacterium. RNAcentral describes it as "partial 16S ribosomal RNA". It matches the Rfam family "Bacterial small subunit ribosomal RNA", at positions 509 to 807 of the family's 1533-position model. The record is from RNAcentral.
CAGUAGCCACGGUAAUACGGAGGGUGCAAGCGUUAAUCGGAAUUACUGGGCGUAAAGCGCACGCAGGCGGUCUGACAAGUCAGAUGUGAAAUCCCCGGGCUUAACCUGGGAACUGCAUUUGAAACUGUCAGGCUGGAGUCUUGUAGAGGGGGGUAGAAUUCCAGGUGUAGCGGUGAAAUGCGUAGAGAUCUGGAGGAAUACCGGUGGCGAAGGCGGCCCCCUGGACAAAGACUGACGCUCAGGUGCGAAAGCGUGGGGAGCAAACAGGAUUAGAUACCCGAGUAGUCCCUGUCUCUUAUAC